RNAcentral lists this ribosomal RNA (208 nucleotides) under uncultured bacterium. RNAcentral's name for it is "partial 16S ribosomal RNA". It matches the Rfam family "Bacterial small subunit ribosomal RNA", at positions 1294 to 1500 of the family's 1533-position model. The record is from RNAcentral.
CGGAUUGCAGUCUGCAACUCGACUGCAUGAAGCUGGAAUCGCUAGUAAUCGCGAAUCAGCAUGUCGCGGUGAAUACGUUCCCGGGUCUUGUACACACCGCCCGUCACACCAUGGGAGUCGGAAAUGCCCGAAGCCAGUGACCCAACCUUUAAGGAGGGAGCUGUCGAAGGCAGGUCUGGUAACUGGGGUGAAGUCGUAACAAGGUAUC